Hippocampus zosterae (dwarf seahorse) is the source of this 926-nucleotide long non-coding RNA. RefSeq lists it as uncharacterized. The transcript has 2 exons. The record is from RefSeq and is a predicted model, not a curated record. Lineage: Eukaryota; Metazoa; Chordata; Actinopteri; Syngnathiformes; Syngnathidae.
GAUUUAAUAUUAAUUUUUACAUGUAGCAAACCAGCCAGUCGCUGAGAAGUCACAGCAGUAAUCACGGACAUCGAAAUCGGAAUAAAGGAUUAAAUUCAUGUUGAUUAUAAAGUUUUCCGGUUGUCUCAAGAUAAUAAAAACAAAACGUAUUUUGAAGAAAGAAUUAAAGGAUAGACUAUGAGGAGAAAAAUGAGAGAUACAUGAUAGAUGUAUUACAAUAAGAGAGUAGUACAAGGAAAAUAUAUUGUAAUGAGUAUAAUGAGAAAAAUAAUAAAAUAAAAACCUCAUUGAGUAUAUGCGGUUCCAAUCAUUUGCUUUGUCUAUCAUCGGUGUUGUCACGUUGUGAGGUGGUGGUGGACCCCAAAAAACAGGCAGGAUGGAGGAACAGGGUGUACUUGAAGAAGUGUAUUGAUAAAACACAGAAAACUAAAUCCAAAACAAAGUCCUAAGAACAAAACGAAUCCAAAGUAGCAAACAAAAACCAUGACUGAAGCAAAAAAAAUGAUCAAUAAUAGAAACAUGACCAAAAACAUGACCUAAACAUGACAAACAUACACAACGGCAACAAAUAAACAAACAAUGACCCGACACUGAGUGGUUGUGUUGGGAGAUCCUUUCAAAGCAAUAAUUACAUAACGACAAACAGGUGCGCAGCCGCAGGGAGAGCCCUCCAGUGCCACCUGUUGGUCAUAAACAGAAUCAUGACAGGUGUGCCUUUCACAGAUUGAUCAGGUCUCUAAAACGCUCCCGAGGUUCACCUUGCCUAAUUAGAAGUCUAAUUUGUUAGUCUUAAUCGACGAUAUUAUCGUUAUCAGUUAUUUUAUUUUGCAAUAGGAGAGAACACUUUUUAUCUUGUGGUUCAUGCAUCCUUACCAAUCUGUGACGGCUUCGUUCGAGCUCGUUCUUAUUAGAGUCGUUAUAUAAAU